This is a long non-coding RNA of Labeo rohita (rohu), 1486 nucleotides long. RefSeq lists it as uncharacterized. The transcript is spliced from 9 exons. NCBI's taxonomy places the organism in Eukaryota, Metazoa, Chordata, Actinopteri, Cypriniformes, Cyprinidae. The record is from RefSeq and is a predicted model, not a curated record.
AGUACCUCCAAGCGUGAACGGAGCUCUGCAGUCAAUUAGUGUUUGACGCCGAAAGCCAUGACCCGGUGCUUUUCACUGUAUGAUAAACGCGACCGCUUCACUUUCCUCCUCUCCUCAGGUUGCAUACUUCAUUUCCUGCACCAUUCUCAGAUUGCAUUCCAGCGUUUACCAUGGUGACCAUGAUAAGAGGAGCGAGGAAUGAGCGGGGGCCAUACGCACAGACAAGGUGUGAUUAGGACAAGCCUGACACCUGUGUGUAAUCAGAGACAGGUGGACCCGUUUCUCUAAGGGGUUAUACUGAUUGCCAGAGUCAUCACUCAGCAGGUGAUUACUAUCUUUGUAACUUCGGCACCAUCAACAACCUGUCCGCCAGUGAGAGCUAUUCUCUUCACUGCAGUGUCAUUCUUCACCUUCAUCCUUGGAGGAGGGCAACAUACCACAGAAAACACUCGCUGGAAUGUGGACAUGGUCACAGCGAAUUGCAGGUGUGGAAGAUCUUCUUGCACUCUGAAGGGCCCUUGAUGCGCAGCGAUCACAUUGUUUCUGUGAAUACUGUGACAGAUUGCCGUAGCACCUCAGUUCAAGAGAAGCAGUGUGAACUGAUCAUCUCCUGCGCUUUGAUACAGUUUCAGCAGGAAAUAAACAUGAAAAAACAUCUCAAGGUAGUUGAGAGUGAUGUCCUCCACCACGUCAAUCUUGCAGAGCUUGUGACCAAACACGUCCUUCAGCAUCUUGAUUAGGUUUAAGAAACUGUUAAUGUCAAUAAGGCCAUCGCGUACUUUGUGUCCAAACAGCCCGUGUAUGAAGUAGAUCUCGUGGCCUGGUUCUCCCGGUUUGGAGGAAACACGCAGGUCGAAAUAGCGUAUUCCUCCCUCGAGCUGUUCUCUGAAAGUGAGGUUUUGAGUCAUGGACCACUUCUUCAUCACCUUCUUGGCUAGAAAGCGAAAUAUCGCAGCCAGGUGCUUCACGUAUGCUUUCUGGUCUGGACCGACUGGAGCUUGCUCAUCCACCCAGAAGCUGAAGGAAUCAUGAGAACCUGGAGCAUGAGCAUAAAGGAAUUUACAAGCUCCAGUGUGGAUCCAGAACACUUAAGAAGAGAUGAUGCCAACCCCACAGAGGACUUCAGAUGAUGCCAACCCUGAAAACAUACAGCACUACCGAAUUCUGCUACUAAUUUAUAGUGUUUUUUGUCUGUUUGAUUAUGUCAUUAAUUGAUCUUUACCACACAUCUCUUCCAUAUGUACAUCAAGCUACUACUACAUAUAUUGUAAAAAUGUCAAUUUGGUGUAAAGCUGCCUUGCAACGAUAUGUAUCGUGAAAAGCGCUAUACAAAUAAAUUUGAAUUGAAUUGAAUUGAACAAAUUGACCAAAAAUGGGAGACACAUAUUUGUACUUAAAGAAUUAACAUCCUGAAAGGAUUAUGAUUUUAUUAUGACACCAUAUUAUUUAUUUAUUUAUUUACUUAUUAUGUUUAGCAUUUUUUUUU